AGCGAACGCUGGCGGCAGGCUUAACACAUGCAAGUCGAGCGGGCACUUUCGGGUGUCAGCGGCGGACGGGUGAGUAACGCGUGGGAACGUGCCCUCUGGUUCGGAAUAACUCAGGGAAACUUGAGCUAAUACCGGAUACGCCCUUUUGGGGAAAGGCUUGCUGCCGGAGGAUCGGCCCGCGUCUGAUUAGCUAGUUGGUGAGGUAACGGCUCACCAAGGCGACGAUCAGUAGCUGGUCUGAGAGGAUGAUCAGCCACACUGGGACUGAGACACGGCCCAGACUCCUACGGGAGGCAGCAGUGGGGAAUAUUGGACAAUGGGCGCUAGCCUGAUCCAGCCAUGCCGCGUGAGUGAUGAAGGCCUUAGGGUUGUAAAGCUCUUUUAUCCGGGACGAUAAUGACGGUACCGGAGGAAUAAGCCCCGGCUAACUUCGUG
RNAcentral lists this ribosomal RNA (435 nucleotides) under uncultured bacterium. Its description in RNAcentral is "partial 16S ribosomal RNA". It matches the Rfam family "Bacterial small subunit ribosomal RNA", at positions 29 to 507 of the family's 1533-position model. The record is from RNAcentral.